CAAAGCACCCAGAGAUUGAUGUGCCGAAUCUGCAGGUGAUAAAGCUGAUGCAGAGCUUCAAAUCCAGAGAGUAUGUGAGGGAGACAUUUGCGUGGAUGCACUAUUACUGGUUCCUCACCAACGAUGGAAUUGAGUUCCUCAGGACAUACCUCAACCUUCCUUCCGAAAUUGUCCCUGCCACUCUCAAGAAGCAGGCCAAGCCCGCGGGAAGACCAUUCGGUGGCCCACCCGGUGAUCGCCCCAGGUAAUUUUAACAUUCUUCCUCAUGGUUUUUACUUUUUUACUAUGAUUUUUCUGUGUUUGACCAAAUAUUCAAAUGUGAUUGUUUUCAACAGGGGCCCACCUCGCUUUGACGGAGAGAGGAGAUUCGGUGGUGACCGUGAUGGAUACCGUGGAGGUCCACGCGGACCUGGUGGUGAUUUCGGUGACAAGGGUGGAGCUCCUGCUGACUACAGGCCUUCUUUUGGGGUAAGCUUUUUGCAAUAUAUCAAUUAACAUUAUUUGCUAUUAUUCUAUAUCAAUCAAUAUUAUUGUGUUUCUAUUUGUUUAUUUAUUGUUUGCUAUUAUUCUAUAUAUGUUCAGUAUCUUUUCUUCUACGAUUGUGUGUGUUAUUACUUUGCGCUCUAGUUUUGAUUUGUUUCUAUUUGUAUAUCUAGUUUUGAUUACAAAUUUGACUCUGCCCGUAUUUUUCGUGUUUCUAAUAACAUUGGUAUCUCUCCUUGAAAAAUUACUAUAAUGUCUAUAUAUCUUUUGUGGGUUCAAAUGUGCAUAUUCUAGCAUUCAAACGAUGGGGUAAGGCAUUUAAUUGUGUUAAUAAAAUCAAGCUUAGAGCUGCACCUUUUGUUUUCAAUUUGCCAACUGUAGUUAUGUAGUUUUCUGUAUCGGAUUAUGUUUCGUUGUUAGCUACAUUUUUAUGGUCUUCUUUAUAUUGUUAGGAAGGCGGGAGGGGUGUUGCACUGACUUUUUGUCCAAAUAAUGUUGACUGUAGUUGCAAGUUUAUUUGGAUGAUUUAAACCCAAAUUCUUCUUGUUUACGUAAUGCUAUUACUGUUUUCUCUUAUAUCUGUGAAGUAGCAUUGUCCUGAUUUUGAUAACGAAUUUGUAGAAGUUAGUUCUUGUGAUGGCCUACUUUGACAUGUCAAGUUUUCCUGAUAUGUAUAUGUUUUCACUCUGUUUGCAGGGUGGUCCUGGUGGAAGGCCUGGUUUUGGUCGUGGUUCCGGUGGUUAUGGUGCACCAACUAGUUCAA
This 1246-nucleotide long non-coding RNA is filed under the name Glycine max (soybean). Its description in RNAcentral is "long non-coding RNA (GMAX_LNC002385)". The record is from RNAcentral. Lineage: Eukaryota; Viridiplantae; Streptophyta; Magnoliopsida; Fabales; Fabaceae.